RNAcentral lists this transfer RNA (72 nucleotides) under Minisyncoccota bacterium. RNAcentral describes it as "tRNA-Arg". It matches the Rfam family "tRNA". Rfam says of the family: Transfer RNA (tRNA) molecules are approximately 80 nucleotides in length. Their secondary structure includes four short double-helical elements and three loops (D, anti-codon, and T loops). The record is from RNAcentral. Lineage: Bacteria; Bacillati; Minisyncoccota.
GGCUCCAUAAUUUAACGGAUAAAAUGCUUUCCUUCUAAGAAAGUUAUCUAGGUUCGAUUCCUAGUGGGGCUA